Molecule: ribosomal RNA, 208 nt
Filed under: uncultured bacterium
Lineage: Bacteria
Description: partial 16S ribosomal RNA
Rfam family: Bacterial small subunit ribosomal RNA
Source: RNAcentral
CUCGUAGGUGGCCAACUAAGUCGGACGUGAAAUCCCUCGGCUUAACCGGGGAACUGCGUCCGAUACUGGUUGGCUUGAGUUUGGGAGAGGGAUGCGGAAUUCCAGGUGUAGCGGUGAAAUGCGUAGAUAUCUGGAGGAACACCGGUGGCGAAGGCGGCAUCCUGGACCAAUACUGACGCUGAGGAGCGAAAGCAGGGGAGACGAAACG